This 494-nucleotide ribosomal RNA is filed under the name uncultured bacterium. Its description in RNAcentral is "partial 16S ribosomal RNA". It matches the Rfam family "Bacterial small subunit ribosomal RNA", at positions 28 to 507 of the family's 1533-position model. The record is from RNAcentral.
GACGAACGCUGGCGGCGUGCUUAACACAUGCAAGUCGAACGGUGAAGCGCCUUCCUUUUUGGUGGGUGUGGAUGAGUGGCGAACGGGUGAGUAACACGUGAGUAACCUGCCCCCUUCUUCUGGAUAACCGCAUGAAAGUGUGGCUAAUACGGGAUAUUCUGGGUCUGUCGCAUGAUGGGUCUGGGAAAGAUAUUGUUUCGGUGGGGGAUGGGCUCGCGGCCUAUCAGCUUGUUGGUGGGGUGAUGGCCUACCAAGGCGGUGACGGGUAGCCGGCCUGAGAGGGUGGACGGUCACACGGGGACGGAGACACGGCCCAGACUCCUACGGGAGGCAGCAGUGGGGAAUAUUGCACAAUGGGCGCAAGACUGAUGCAGCGACGCCGCGUGAGGGAUGGAGGCCUUCGGGUUGUGAACCUCUUUCGCCAGUGAAGCAGGCCUGCCUCGUUUGUGGGUGGGUUGACGGUAGCUGGAUAAGAAGCGCCGGCUAACUACGUG